UACGUAGGCAGCAAGCGUUGUUCGGAAUUACUGGGCGUAAAGAGUGUGUAGGCGGUUUUGUAAGUUCGGUGUGAAAUCUCCCGGCUUAACUGGGAGGGUGCGCCGAAUACUGCAAGGCUUGAGUGUCGGAGAGGAAAGCGGAAUUCCUGGUGUAGCGGUGAAAUGCGUAGAUAUCAGGAGGAACACCUGUGGUGUAGACGGCUUUCUGGACGACCACUGACGCUGAGACACGAAAGCGUGGGGAGCAAACAGG
Molecule: ribosomal RNA, 253 nt
Filed under: uncultured bacterium
Lineage: Bacteria
Description: partial 16S ribosomal RNA
Rfam family: Bacterial small subunit ribosomal RNA
Source: RNAcentral